ACGGGGUGCAGCAGGCGCGAAAACUUUACAAUGCGGGAAACCGCGAUAAGGGAACCUCGAGUGCCAGCAUACAAUGUUGGCUGUCCAGGUGCCUAAAAAGCAUCUGUUAGCAAGGGCCGGGCAAGACCGGUGCCAGCCGCCGCGGUAACACCGGGGGCUCGAGUGGUAACCGCUAUUAUUGGGUCUAAAGGGUCUGUAGCCGGCCGAAUAAGUCCCUUGGGAAAUCUGGCAGCUUAACUGUCAGGCCUUCAGGGGAUACUGUUUGGCUUGGGACCGGGAGAGGUGAGAGGUACCUCAGGGGUAGGGGUGAAAUCUUGUAAUCCUUGAGGGACCAUCAGUGGCGAAGGCGUCUCACCAGAACGGAUCCGACGGCAAGGGACGAAAGCUAGGGGCACGAACCGGAUUAGAUACCCGGGUAGUCCUAGCCGUAAACGAUACUCGCUAGGUGUCAGCCACGGUGCGACCGUGGUUGGUGCCGUAGGGAAGCCGUGAAGCGAGCCACCUGGGAAGUACGGCCGCAAGGCUGAAACUUAAAGGAAUUGGCGGGGGAGCAC
This 554-nucleotide ribosomal RNA is filed under the name uncultured archaeon. RNAcentral's name for it is "bacterial SSU rRNA". It matches the Rfam family "Archaeal small subunit ribosomal RNA", at positions 325 to 879 of the family's 1478-position model. The record is from RNAcentral.